AAACGAGAAAAAGUAUUCUCAUUUAUUAGUAAUAAAUAUGCUAACCGAAUCAAGGUAUCACUUUAAAGUUAUGAGAUUAUCAGUUAAAUUAUUCAUGUUAAAAGGAUACUACCUCAAGAUGGUUGGGUUAUAGGAAAACUUCUUUGCCUAUAUUUUGGGAGAGGCAUAUAAACAUGUGUGUUUAGAAAGAAAUUUGACAGAAAAGGUGACGUAGAAAUGGUCAUAAUCUUUGCCCUAAUCAUUCUACUCUAAAGAAUAAUUGAAAAGUGGAAGAAAGCCCCAUAUAUAUGAACAAUUUUAUUGCCAACAUUGUAUGUAACAUAAAAAGGGAAUGUAAUGUCAAAAUGUAAUGUAAAAAACAUACAUAUUUAGAUAACUAUGAUUUUAACUAUGAUUAAAAACAUACAUAUUUAGAUAACUUUUGCAAUGUUACAUAGCUAUUAAAAAGUUAUUAUAAAGCAGGUUCUCAACUUGAGUGUGCAUCAGAAUCACCUGGAGAGCUUAUAAAAACACAGCUUACUCAGCCCAAGUCCAAGUUCUUGAUUCAGUAGGUCUGGAAUGGGAAUCUAGAAUUUGCAUUUCUGACAAUUUCCAGGUAAUGCUGGUCCAAGGACCACACUUUGAGAACUCUCAAUAGUGCAAAGAGAUAUUUUAGUGAAAUCAUGGUUAAAAGCAUGGGGUAAGGAAGACAGUCAGACUCAUUGGAAUUCCAGCUUUAAAGCUAUCAUGGGCCCAAAGCUCUAGAGUUUCUACAAACUCUUCAGGGAUCUCUGAAAAGGCUUGAGACUUUUCUGCAGGUCUUUAAAUAAAGCAGGAGUCCCAAAGCAAGCGACAACAGGGACCAAGGAGGUAAGACAGCUGAAGACAGUGAGGACUUCUAUGAACUGGAGAGCACAGCCCCAUCUAAUCCAGGGAGCUGAUUGUUGCCUGAGGAAAUUCAGCACCAGUGUUGCCAGGUCUUAAUUAAUUCUUUCAAGAAAAGCAUAAAACUCUGUAUCUUGAUAAACUCAUGAAAAC
RNAcentral lists this long non-coding RNA (1017 nucleotides) under Homo sapiens (human). Its description in RNAcentral is "HSALNT0055754". The record is from RNAcentral. Lineage: Eukaryota; Metazoa; Chordata; Mammalia; Primates; Hominidae.